GACGAACCGUGCGAACGUUGUUCGGAAUCACUGGGCUUAAAGGGCGCGUAGGCGGCUCGCGAGGUCGGGGGUGAAAUCCCACAGCUUAACUGUGGAAGCGCCUUCGAUACCGGCGGGCUCGAGGAAGGUAGGGGUGCGCGGAACUUCUGGUGGAGCGGUGAAAUGCGUUGAUAUCAGAAGGAACGCCGGCGGCGAAAGCGGCGCACUGGAUCUUUUCUGACGCUGAGGCGCGAAAGCCAGGGGAGCAAACGGG
Molecule: ribosomal RNA, 253 nt
Filed under: uncultured bacterium
Lineage: Bacteria
Description: partial 16S ribosomal RNA
Rfam family: Bacterial small subunit ribosomal RNA
Source: RNAcentral